GACGAACGCUGGCGGCGUGCUUAACACAUGCCAGUCGAACGGAAAGGCCCUGCGUUUGUGGGGUGCUCGAGUGGCGAACGGGGGAGUAACACGUGAGUAACCUGCCCUUGACUUUGGGAUAACUUCAGGAAACUGGGGCUAAUACCGGAUAGGAGCUCCUGCUGCAUGGUGGUGGUUGGAAAGUGUCGGCGGUUGGGGAUGGACUCGCGGCUUAUCAGCUUGUUGGUGGGGUAGUGGCUUACCAAGGCUUUGACGGGUAGCCGGCCUGGGAGGGUGACAGGCCACAUUGGGCCUGAGCUGCGGCACAGACUCCAACGGGACGCAGCAGUGCGGAAUAUUGCACAAUGGGCGGAAGCAUGAUGCAGCAACGCCGCGUGCGGGAUAGCGGCCAUCGGGUUGUAAACCGCUUUCGCCUGUGACGAAGCGUGAGUGACGGUAAUGGGUAAAGAAGCACCGGCUAACUACGUG
This 468-nucleotide ribosomal RNA is filed under the name uncultured bacterium. RNAcentral's name for it is "partial 16S ribosomal RNA". It matches the Rfam family "Bacterial small subunit ribosomal RNA", at positions 28 to 507 of the family's 1533-position model. The record is from RNAcentral.